This is a non-coding RNA of Canis lupus familiaris (dog), 214 nucleotides long. Lineage: Eukaryota; Metazoa; Chordata; Mammalia; Carnivora; Canidae. The record is from Rfam.
AAGACUAUACUUUCAAGGAUCAUUUCUACAAUUUGUUACUAGAGAAGUUUCUCUCAAUGUGUAGAGCACCGGAAACUACCGGGAGGAGGCGCAGCAUCUCUCCAGACUGUGAAGCUGGUUUUUAGUGUUUGCUUCUGCAACACCAUUCACCAUUGAUAUUGGUUAUUUCUUCUCUUCCUUCGGGGGAGCAAGAGAGGGAGGAUGCAGAUGAGGA